AUUUUUAAACCUGCAUAUUUAGCUAAAAGAAUCCAGGUUAGCAGGCAAUAUUAACCAGGUGAAAUUGUGUCAGUUCUCUUGCGUUCGUUGCACGCAGAAUCAGGGUAUACAGAAUCUGUCUCGUUGCGAACUAAUUUGCCAGAAUUUUAUGGAACUAUGAAAUAACAUUGUAGGUUGUGCGAUGUAACAGGAAUAUUUAGACUUAUGGAUGCCACCCGUUAGAUAAAAUACGGAACGGUUCCGUAUGUCACUGAAAGAAUAAUGUUUUCGAGAUGAUAGUUUCCAGAUUUGACCAUGUUAGUGACCUAAGGUUUAUUAUAUUAUAGUUAAGUCUAUGAUUUGAUAUUUGAUAGAGCAGUCUGACUGAGCGGUGGUAGGCAGCAGCAGGCUCGUAAUAGUCAAAGAUAUAUGGUUUAGAGAGAAAUAGUCGACGCAUCAUAAUUCCUGUAAUAACUUGCGGCUGAACUUGAAAGGGGUUCCUUCGUUAUUUUACCGUUCAUGUCUUCCAUAGAGAAUGUCUUGAUCUACUUCAAAUAAGGUCUGUGUUUUGUGCUUAAACCGCCUCUGCGUUUUGAUACCCGUGUAAAUCUCACUAGGUAACGUUUGUCAACAUAUUUUCAUAAAUCCACUCUACAAAAAUAAUUAUCUUCGCUUAUAUUGUGCAGAGUUAUAUCCUAUGGAUAUCUACACAGUUAUAAAAUUGGCACGGUGGUGUAAGCCUAAACCAAACACAGACCUUAUUUUAAGUUAAUCUAAAAAUAUCCUAUGGAAUAAAUGAAGGAACCGCUUUUCAGAUUUUGCUAGAAGGUGUCAUGGGAAUUGUGACUCGCACUUUGGUAGUCAAUUCUUACCAUGCCCAUUAUUAAAAUAGGAUUUCCUGCAUAUCGAAAUUACAGUUUUUGUUUUCAGCAUUCAUCACAGGUAACUUAAACUCUAUUUUUAUUAUUCAAACAGUUGAGAGUAUUUGUCUCCUAAGCAGACUCUACAGUAUUGUUGUCACUUCAGAGCUGUGUGUGUGUGUGUGUGUGUGUGUGUGUGUGUGUGUGUGUGUGUGUGUGUGUGUGUGUGUGUGUGUGUGUGUGUGUGUGUGUGUGUGUGUGUGUGUGUGUGUGUGUGUGUGUGUGUGUGUGUCACGUCCUGGCCAGUAUAAGGGUUAAUUAUUAUUUUAGUUUGGUCAGGACGUGGCAGAGGGUAUUUGUUUUAUGUGGUUCAAGGUGGUGUGUUAGUUAGGAGGGCGUUUGAUUUAUUAUUUCCGGGUUUUGAGUUAUGGUCUAUGUUGAUGUAUUUCUAUGUGUAGUCUGGUUGAUCUAUUUCUAUGUUGAGUUAAUUGGGGUGGACUUCCAAUUAAAGGCAGCUGUGUGGUGUUGCCUUUGAUUGGAAGUCCUAUAUUAGUUGGGUGUGUUUGUCUGUGUAUUUGUGGGAGAUUGUUUCUUGUUUUGCCGAGUGAGCCUUUCAAGACUGUUUCGUUGUUCGUGAGUUAGUUUUGUUGUUUUUGUGUUCAUUUUGAUUUAAUAAAUGUUCAAAAUGAACAAACACAUACCUGCUGCGUUUUGGUCCUCCAUUUCCAACGACGACCGUGACAGAGUGUGUGUGUGUGUGUGUGUGUGUGUGUGUGUGUGUGUGUGUGUAUAUAUAUACAUAUAUUUAAAAAAAACAUAAUAAUAAUCGGCCGAUUAAUCGGUAUCGGCUUUUUGGCCCUCCAAUAAUCGGCAUUGGUAUCGGCGUUGAAAAAUCAUAAUCGGUCGACCUCUAGUUCCCAUAGUGUUUAUACUUGCGUACUAUUGUUUGUAACGAUGAAUGUGGUACCUUCAGUCGUUUGGAAAUUGCUCCCAAGGAUGAACCAGACUUGUGGAGGUCUACAAUUUUUUGGGGGAGGUUUUGGCUGAUUUAUUUUGAUUUUCCCCGGUGGGCCUUGAAAUACAUCCACAGGUACACCUCCAAUUGACUCAAAUGAUGUCAACUAGCCUAUCAGAACCUUCUAAAGCCAUUACAUAAUUUUCUGGAAUUUUCCAAGCUGUUUAACGGCUCAGUCAACUUAGUGUAUGUAAACUUCUGACCCACUGGAAUUGCGAUACAGUGAAUUAUAAGUGAAAUAAUCUGUCUGUUAACAAUUGUUGGAAGAAUUGCUUGUGUCAUGCACAAAGUAGAUGUCCUAACUGACUUGCCAAAACUACAGAUUGCUGACAAGAAAUUUGUGGAGUGGUUGAAAAACUAGUUUUAAUGACUCCAAUCUAAGUGUAUGUCAACUUCUGACUUCAACUGUAUAUUCAAAUGAAUUUUUUCAAUGAGGUGUGUUUUAUCACUGGACAGGGCUGGCCUGUUUUGAAUAGUGUACUUUGAGCACCUAUACAACUUCCGUUCCUACCAUGGAAAUACUAUUAAAUUAUUAUAAUUCUUAAUUCUAUGUUUCCAACCCAUCUAUGAAACUGCGUUCCACAAUCAAUAACGUAAUAGGAGCAAUAUUUGCCGAAUAGACUGAAAAGGUGCACAGUGAAUUCACUAACCCAGGCCCAGCUCAUUUAGUCCCUACCAUUGUGUCACUAAGUUAUCAUAAUGUUUCAGCAAAUGUACAUUAUCCCAGGGGCAUUGGAAGACAACAUGCCGAGGACGUCUCUGUGGUUGCAUUAGAGGCUUUGGAAUAAAUGGCCCAGUUAUUUAACAGCCUGACUCCUGUCAUAUGGAAAAAAGAAACACUGAACCUGUUCAAAAACAGGUGAACUAGUUAAGUUAAGAAAUUGGAGGGAUGCGUCGGGUGUGGUGUUGGGGCAUCCUCUGGAGAUGGAGGGUCAGUUACUUCAGGCAAAGGGUCUCUGAAAACGUAUUUCAACAAGCUGAACACCAUCUUGAAACAGAAGGUGGAUCCAACAUCAAAUCCACUCGAAAAUAGGGAACACAGCGCAUGUGAGAUCGUGGGAGCGGAGCUUCGCUACAAACUAGUGCAGUUUUAAAAAUUCCUCGACACCAUGGUCAAGCUGUGACGAAGUCGGCCUCAGAGUCAAGCCGUGAGGAAGGAGCGGUCUGUUGGACAACCACAUAACCAUCAUUGGAGACAUGUAACAUGUCCCUGAGGCUGGCAAAUAGAUUGACGGAUAAUAUUUUACUGACUGACUGAUUUAUUUAUAUGUGAAGGCUAUGUAUUUAUUUAUUUAUAAUACAAUUAAAUGACAUAAACAUGCAUCUAUUAUCAUAUUGUUUUUUUCAUUCAUUUAUAUAUUCAGUCAUCCAUUUAUUCAUCCAUUGUCUUUCAUGCAUUCAUUUGUUCAUAGGGAAUCUAC
Molecule: long non-coding RNA, 3275 nt
Filed under: Salmo salar (Atlantic salmon)
Lineage: Eukaryota; Metazoa; Chordata; Actinopteri; Salmoniformes; Salmonidae
Description: lncRNA (ENSSSAG00000098756.1)
Source: RNAcentral